UGGGGAAUUUUGCGCAAUGGGGGAAACCCUGACGCAGCAACGCCGCGUGGAGGAUGAAAUCCCUUGGGAUGUAAACUCCUUUCGAUCGGGACGAUUAUGACGGUACCGGAAGAAGAAGCCCCGGCUAACUUCGUGCCAGCAGCCGCGGUAAUACGAGGGGGGCAAGCGUUGUUCGGAAUUAUUGGGCGUAAAGGGCGCGUAGGCGGUUUGACAAGUCUGAUGUGAAAUCUCUGGGCUCAACCCAGAGUCUGCAUUAGAAACUGUCGGGCUUGAGUAUGGGAGAGGUGAGUGGAAUUUCCGGUGUAGCGGUGAAAUGCGUAGAUAUCGGAAGGAACACCUGUGGCGAAAGCGGCUCACUGGACCAUAACUGACGCUGAGGCGCGAAAGCUAGGGGAGCAAACAGGAUUAGAUACCCUGGUAGUCCUAGCCCUAAACGAUGAUUGCUUGGUGUGACAGGUACCCAAUCCUGUCGUGCCGAAGCUAACGCGAUAAGCAAUCCGCCUAGGGAGUACGGUCGCAAGGCUGA
Molecule: ribosomal RNA, 526 nt
Filed under: uncultured Edaphobacter sp.
Lineage: Bacteria; Pseudomonadati; Acidobacteriota; Terriglobia; Terriglobales; Acidobacteriaceae
Description: bacterial SSU rRNA
Rfam family: Bacterial small subunit ribosomal RNA
Source: RNAcentral